AUGGAGGAGGUGUUUGAUGCUUGUUGUGUCACAAACGAGCAUGCGAGAGUGCCAAUUCCCACAUAUCAAGGUUCUACGUCUCGAAUCAAUUUGGAUGAUGAGUCUGGUUGUGAAGGUGACAAAACUGAAGUUACACCUCGUGCGAAUCGUGCAAAUGUUGGGAAGAAGAGGGCAUCUCCUUAUUCCCCAAGUCCUAAGGCGAAUGAAAAGUGGGCAAGUGAGCAUGCAAAGAAUGAGGCAUUUGUUCGUAUGGUGGACCUCUUUGAUUCAAGGAACAAGAGAGAUGAGACUCAAGUUUCAGCAAGACAAGAGAUUCAUGAAAUGAUGGCCAUGGUAGAAGCAGAUGGUGGUGCACCUGGGAGUGAUGUUCAUUUCUAUGCUUCACAGCUAUUCAAGGAUCAGAAAAAUCGUGAUGUUUUCUCUGCCUUCAAGACUCACGAGCCUAGUGCGAGGCUGAUAUGGAUAAACAAAGCAUGGGAGUUCAACAAUAAGUAG
RNAcentral lists this ribosomal RNA (495 nucleotides) under Triticum aestivum (bread wheat). RNAcentral's name for it is "partial small subunit ribosomal RNA". The record is from RNAcentral. Lineage: Eukaryota; Viridiplantae; Streptophyta; Magnoliopsida; Poales; Poaceae.